Non-coding RNA from Chelonoidis abingdonii (Abingdon island giant tortoise), 574 nucleotides. The record is from RefSeq and is a predicted model, not a curated record. NCBI's taxonomy places the organism in Eukaryota, Metazoa, Chordata, Testudines, Testudinidae.
AAUUUGACAGGUGCAGAAUUUGCCAGCACAUGCAAGAGAUGGAAAAAGAUCAUAAUUUGACAUACCCACAGAUGCAACUACUAAAUGAGAGUGAGGCAAGCUGCACAAGCCAAUUGCCAUCACCAAAUUCCAACAAUGCUCACAGCAUUGGAACAGAAGUGUCUGGCUGUGAUAAUUCCGCACGGACAGGGGUUCAGAAAUCUCACUCUCUUCCAGGAAGGAUGACACAUAGUUAGCAUAUGGGACUCUAAGUCAGGAGAACCCACAUACACAAGUAACAGGAGCUCAGCCAACGCAGCGUACUCAGCUCCUCACAAGCAUCUCUCCAGCAAUGAUGUGAAUAAUCGCCACAGUUUAAAGGGCUGAAAUUAGGAGCCACCUCCAACACUCAAUUUCUAUAGGGUCAGCCAGCUGGAGCACGGAAAGACAGAAGGAAAGAGGACAGACACCGUGCACAAACUGCUAAGCCCCCUCACCCAGCUCAGAACACAGAGCAAAGUGGCUCCUGGAUUCUCACUGCACAGCAAGUCAACAAGCUCUAGAUCAGUGGUAGGCAACCUAUGGCACAGUUGCA